UGGGGGAUAUUGCACAAUGGGCGAAAGCCUGAUGCAGCGACGCCGCGUGGGGGAUGAAGGCUUUCGGGUUGUAAACCUCUUUCGCUAUCGAACAAGGCCCGCUUAGGGUGGGUUGAGGGUAGGUGGAGAAGAAGCGCCGGCUAACUACGUGCCAGCAGCCGCGGUAAUACGUAGGGCGCGAGCGUUGUCCGGAAUUAUUGGGCGUAAAGGGCUUGUAGGCGGCUUGUUGCGCCUGCUGUGAAAACGCGGGGCUUAACUUCGCGCGUGCAGUGGGUACGGGCAGGCUUGAGUGUGGUAGGGGUGAAUGGAAUUCCAGGUGUAGCGGUGGAAUGCGGAGAUAUCUGGAGGAACACCGAUGGCGAAGGAAGGUCACUGGGGCAUUACUGACGCUGAGGAGCGAAAGCAUGGGGAGCGAACAGG
This 420-nucleotide ribosomal RNA is filed under the name bacterium. RNAcentral describes it as "partial 16S ribosomal RNA". It matches the Rfam family "Bacterial small subunit ribosomal RNA", at positions 355 to 776 of the family's 1533-position model. The record is from RNAcentral.